Molecule: long non-coding RNA, 413 nt
Organism: Gambusia affinis (western mosquitofish)
Lineage: Eukaryota; Metazoa; Chordata; Actinopteri; Cyprinodontiformes; Poeciliidae
Exons: 3
Source: RefSeq, a predicted model, not a curated record
CUCCAACGCAGUAAACUGUGGCACCCAGACUUCUGGAGCGGUUUGCCUGUCAGCUUUACUGUUUCCUUCAAGCUGUAUGGCAGAGAAGCAAAGGAUCAUCAGCAAGUUCGGCACAUCUGCUCCCACCUGUCUUCUGUCAGCCUCAUCAAGAUCCGUCCCUCGUUGGAGAACACAAUGAAGGACAUCCGCAACUGUGGGCUGAGGUGAGAAGAGCAGAAAAAUAAUCAAUCUGAGAAGAGAGCAGACAACUUAACGUGAGCAGAAUAUGCUUCAGCCUCUGUUUGAGCAUCUAAGGAGUUGACAAUGAUGGAGGAUAGUAUGCAGUACCUUCAAAAAGGAUUUAACAGACCUUGAUGUAGUUCCUUAUGUUACGUGUUUUUAUUGGGAUUUUACGUUUUUUUUAAUCAUUGCAA